UACAGAGGUCCCAAGCGUUGUUCGGAUUCAUUGGGUUUAAAGGGUCCGUAGGCGGUUUGGUAAGUCAGUGGUGAAAGCCCAUCGCUCAACGGUGGAACGGCCAUUGAUACUGCCAGACUUGAAUUAUUAGGAAGUAACUAGAAUAUGUAGUGUAGCGGUGAAAUGCUUAGAGAUUACAUGGAAUACCAAUUGCGAAGGCAGGUUACUACUAAUGGAUUGACGCUGAUGGACGAAAGCGUGGGUAGCGAACAGG
This 253-nucleotide ribosomal RNA is filed under the name uncultured bacterium. RNAcentral's name for it is "partial 16S ribosomal RNA". It matches the Rfam family "Bacterial small subunit ribosomal RNA", at positions 524 to 776 of the family's 1533-position model. The record is from RNAcentral.